UGGGGAAUAUUGGGCAAUGGGGGCAACCCUGACCCAGCGACGCCGCGUGGGGGAAGACGGCCUUCGGGUUGUAAACCUCUUUUGUACGGGAAGAAGGAAGUGACGGUACUGUACGAAUAAGUCCCGGCUAACUACGUGCCAGCAGCCGCGGUAAUACGUAGGGGACGAGCGUUGUCCGGAAUUACUGGGCGUAAAGGGCGCGCAGGCUGUGCUGCAAGUCAGCUGUUAAAUGUCUGGGCUUAACCCGGGCAUGCGGUUGAGACUGCGGUGCUGGAGUGCUGUAGAGGGAAGUGGAAUUCCCGGUGUAGCGGUGAAAUGCGUAGAUAUUGGGAAGAACACCGGUGGCGAGGGCGACUUGCUGGGCAGCAACUGACGCUGAGGCGCGAAAGCCAGGGGAGCAAACGGG
This 406-nucleotide ribosomal RNA is filed under the name uncultured bacterium. Its description in RNAcentral is "bacterial SSU rRNA". It matches the Rfam family "Bacterial small subunit ribosomal RNA", at positions 355 to 776 of the family's 1533-position model. The record is from RNAcentral.